CCCUGCAUAUUUUGCUUAUCUUCCUUUGGCUCACGAUAAGGUUGGAUUAACAUUGGCUGCAGGUGAAAGAAGCCUUCACCAAAUAACAGUUUAUUUCUGCCUUCAUGGAUGCCUGAAGGUUGGUAAUCCAGGGUUGGGAUGGUUGUUUUGCUUUAAGAAGGCCUCAGGAAGAAGCUCUUUCUAGCUCUCUUGUCUUCCAACCCCAGGCUGUGGCCUCCGUCCUCAUGGUGCAAUGUGAUGGUUGAAGCAUCAGCCAUCAUAUCCAUGUUCCCAGGAACAGGAAAUGGGCACACACAUGGUGUCUUGAGGAUGUUUUCCUGGAAGUUGUCCAAUAACACUUCUACUUAUAAGUCACUGGCCAGAACUUAUUGCCAUUGCUGUUCGCAGCAGAGAGAAAAGCUGGACAAUGCAGCUUUAUUCCAGGCAGCUUUGUGUCCAGUUCAGCAUCGCGCUGCAAUUUUUACAGAAGGAAUGGAGAAUAGAUCGGGGGAGGGAGCAACCAGCAAUCUUGGCAACAUUGUUUUCUGAACACUAAAUAAAACCACUAGAAAAUAUCUAGAUUGAUUGGAUGACACCGGGAUGGGACUGUUAGUUUCGCAUGAAGAUUUAGUGGAGAAACCAUGUAUUUGUAUGGAUGAAGUGAAAUGAAUGGCCUGGCAGGCUUCUUUUCAAGGGCUCUCAUGCAUGCUCAGCCUCAGAUGCAUCACAUCGGUAGCAUCCUGUGCACCAUGAGGACUUAGGGACCCACGGGCCAUUUUCCUGAGAGACAGCAGCCAGCCAGCCCUGACCGCAGGAGCUCAGACAGCCAGAUAGCCCUAAGCAGCUGAGUCUGGUGGGCGAACUUUUCUGAGUGGCUGCCAGUUUGUGAUGGUCCCCACAGAAGCGCCUCUGUUAUUUUGUGCAGUGUGUCUCUAAGUAUUCCAGUGAGGACACCCACCACUUCUCUUGAAUGUACAGACUCCUCUGUGGGGGUUUUUCUCCCUGCUUGUCAGCUUCAGUCUUCUUUGUUCAGAAUCUUCCCUCUUCCUCUGGACUUACCCCUUCAACACGACCACAACCUCAAGAAUGUGAUGUUUGCACUUACAACGUUCUAUGAAAUCCAGCAAAACAGCCUCAGUGGACAACUCUUCUACUUAAGGAGAUUUUUGUUUUUCUCUUCUCUUGUUUAAAUCUAGCAUAGACACCUUUAUCAAGUACACGGGUAUGUCUUAAGUGACUUUUGUGGCA
Molecule: long non-coding RNA, 1227 nt
Filed under: Homo sapiens (human)
Lineage: Eukaryota; Metazoa; Chordata; Mammalia; Primates; Hominidae
Description: HSALNT0114647
Source: RNAcentral